UGCCCCGAAUAUUGCAUUGGACCUAAUAUAAAAAUUCUUCAUUUGCCUGAAAUCCAAACUCGACAGGCCACCUCGUUUUUUUUUGUUUGUUUGUUUUUCUGUUUUUGUCUUUUUGCCAUUUCUUGGCCGCUCCAGCGGCAUAUGGAGGUUCCCAGGCUAGGGGUCGAAUCGGAGCUGUAGCCGCCGGCCUACGCCAGAGCCACAGCAACAUGGGAUCCGAGCCGCGUCUGUGACCUACACCACAGCUCAUGGCAACUCUGGAUCGUUAACCCACUGAGCAAGGGCAGGAACCGAACCUGCAACCUCAUGGCUCCUAGUCGGAUUCGUUAACCACUGUGCCGCAACGGGAACUCCCCACCUUGUAUUUUGAUGUGCUAAAUCAAACAACUCCAUCUAGCAGAACUGAGUCGGAUGAAUAAAUUAAUGAGUUUGCUUUAGUUAUCUAUUGCCGCAUAGCAAAUUACCAUCAACUUAGCUGCGUAAAACCAUCCCGGUUCACACCCCUGUGUAAAAUGGAUCAGUAACAAGGCUGUAUCGCAGAGCAGAGGGAAUUACAGCUGUGAUCUUGUAAUAACUUUUAAUGGAGUACAACCUGCAAAAACACGGAGUCGCAACGCUGUGCACUUGACACUGACAGUGUAAAUCAACUAUACUUAAAAAAAGUCAUUCCCUGUUCAUUAUCACUCAGGUUUGGUGGGUCAGAAGUCCAGGCACGGGCCAGCUGCCUCUGCUGCAGGAUCUCACCUGGGCGGAGAUCAAGGGAUGGACGGGGGCUGCGGUCUCACCUGAAAUCGAGGUGUGAAGCUGGAAAAGGAUCAGCGUUUGAGCUCCCGCAGGGGCUGGUAGAGUUGAUCUCCUUGUGGCUGUGGGACUCGGAGCCCAGGGCUUCUUCAGCGAUGCUGAGGAAACCAAGCAUUUAGGCCCCGCCCCUUCUGGGGUGCCUCAGAGACCCCAUCUGAGAACGGCUGUGAUGAAAGUUUCCUCCUGACCUGGCAGCGUGGAAGGCUCCUGGGACGUGUCAUCAUCCCCCGUGUAUUUUCUGCUCCAAGAACAACCCCCUGUGGGAACGACAACGAGGCAGGGCCUUCCUUCCUGCCCUUUCUUCCAGGCUCCGAAAGAUCAAUCCGACCAGCGGCCUUCCCAGGGGCCCACGUGCCGCCGGAGGGAGAAAGUCCUGGGGGAGGGCAGGGGGAAGUCCUCCUCCCCACCUAUUUCUCGGAAGGAAAAAUAAACUUGUAAAUGUUGGAAAUAAGUCACGUGCCUGUUCUGCACGCCUUGCUCAUUGCCCUUCCUGCUCCGAGUUUUUGUCUUCUCUGGGUACUACUGAUUCUAUUACCUAACCUUUGUCUUUAAAAAAAACUCAUGUAAAAUGCCUUUUUAUAUAGCAUUGGAAAAAGCGCUCUGUGGGAGUUCCCGCUGUGGCUCGGUAGUAAGGAACCCGACUAGCAUCCAUGAGGAUGUGGGUUUGAUCCCUGGCCUCGCUCACUGG
Molecule: long non-coding RNA, 1489 nt
Filed under: Sus scrofa (pig)
Lineage: Eukaryota; Metazoa; Chordata; Mammalia; Artiodactyla; Suidae
Description: lncRNA (ENSSSCG00050078891.1)
Source: RNAcentral